GUUCAUGGCUCAGGAUGAACGCUAGCGGCAGGCUUAACACAUGCAAGUCGAGGGGCAGCAUAAUGGAUAGCAAUAUCUAUGGUGGCGACCGGCGCACGGGUGCGUAACGCGUAUGCAACCUACCUUUAACAGGGGGAUAACACUGAGAAAUUGGUACUAAUACCCCAUAAUAUCAUAGAAGGCAUCUUUUAUGGUUGAAAAUUCCGAUGGUUAGAGAUGGGCAUGCGUUGUA
This 232-nucleotide ribosomal RNA is filed under the name uncultured bacterium. Its description in RNAcentral is "partial 16S ribosomal RNA". It matches the Rfam family "Bacterial small subunit ribosomal RNA", at positions 15 to 240 of the family's 1533-position model. The record is from RNAcentral.